RNAcentral lists this ribosomal RNA (630 nucleotides) under Triticum aestivum (bread wheat). RNAcentral's name for it is "partial small subunit ribosomal RNA". Lineage: Eukaryota; Viridiplantae; Streptophyta; Magnoliopsida; Poales; Poaceae. The record is from RNAcentral.
AUGGAGAAUGUUGUAGUGUUGAUUGUUGGCGCUGGGCCAGCAGGCCUUGCAACAGCAGCAUGCCUUAGCCAAUUCUCAAUUCCCUAUGUCAUUGUCGAGCGUGAAAGUUGCAACGCGUCGCUUUGGCGCAACCACGCCUACGAUCGCCUCAAGCUGUAUCUUGCAAAGGAGUUUUGUGAGUUGCCACACAUGUCAUACCCACUAGAUGCUCCAACAUACAUACCAAAAACCUUGUUUGUAAAGUACUUAGAUGACUAUGUUGAGCGUUUCAAUAUUCAAUCCAAGUAUCUCACUAGUGUGGAGUCAUCCACAUUUGACAAUGACGAAAAAUGUUGGUCCAUCGUGGCACAUGACAUGGCAAAGAGCACAAUAGUCAGGUUCACAUCAAAGUUUCUUGUUGUGGCAAGUGGUGGGAAUAGUGCAGAGAAUAUUCCAAUGAUCCCCGGACUGCAAAGUUUUCCGGGUGAUGUCAUCCACUCCUCAAGCUACAAGUCAGGCAAGAGCUACUCUGGCAUGAAUGCAUUGGUCGUUGGAUCUGGCAACUCUGGAAUGGAAAUUGCUUAUGACCUUGCGGCCCAUGGUGCCAAUACUUCAGUUGUUAUACGAAGCCCGGCUUCAAAAGAGAUGUGA